Molecule: ribosomal RNA, 253 nt
Filed under: uncultured bacterium
Lineage: Bacteria
Description: partial 16S ribosomal RNA
Rfam family: Bacterial small subunit ribosomal RNA
Source: RNAcentral
UACAGAGGUCUCAAGCGUUGUUCGGAUUCAUUGGGCGUAAAGGGUGCGUAGGUGGCGGGGUAAGUCAGGUGUGAAAUUUCGGAGCUCAACUCCGAAACUGCAUUUGAUACUGCCUUGCUUGAGGACUGGAGAGGAGACUGGAAUUCACGGUGUAGCAGUGAAAUGCGUAGAUAUCGUGAGGAAGACCAGUGGCGAAGGCGGGUCUCUGGACAGUUCCUGACACUGAGGCACGAAGGCCAGGGGAGCAAACGGG